RNAcentral lists this ribosomal RNA (253 nucleotides) under uncultured bacterium. RNAcentral describes it as "partial 16S ribosomal RNA". It matches the Rfam family "Bacterial small subunit ribosomal RNA", at positions 524 to 776 of the family's 1533-position model. The record is from RNAcentral.
GACGAAGGAUGCAAGCGUUAUCCGGAUUCAUUGGGUUUAAAGGGAGCGUAGGUGGUCUUAUAAGUCAGUGGUGAAAUCUCUGGGCUUAACCCAGAAAUUGCCAUUGAUACUGUAGGACUUGAGUAUAGUUGCCGUUGGCGGAAUAUGACAUGUAGUGGUGAAAUACAUAGAGAUCGGGAAGAACAUCAGUGGCGAAGGCGGCCUGCUGGGCUGUUGCUGACGCUGAGGCGCGACAGCGUGGGGAGCAAACAGG